CAGGGAUUUGCACUACUGAAUUUUGUAGUAAAAUACUCCCCUGAACGACAGCGUUCUCUUCGUCCUCAUCAUGAUGCUUCUACAUUUACCAUAAACAUUGCACUUAAUAACGUGGGAGAAGACUUUCAGGGAGGUGGUUGCAAAUUUCUAAGGUACAAUUGCUCUAUUGAGUCACCACGAAAAGGCUGGAGCUUCAUGCAUCCUGGGAGACUCACACAUUUGCAUGAAGGACUUCCUGUUAAAAAUGGAACAAGAUACAUUGCAGUGUCAUUUAUAGAUCCCUAAGUUAUUUACUUUUCAUUGAAUUGAAAUUUAUUUUGGAUGAAUGACUGGCAUGAACACGUCUUUGAAGUUGUGGCUGAGAAGAUGAGAGGAAUAUUUAAAUAACAUCAACAGAACAACUUCACUUUGGGCCAAACAUUUGAAAAACUUUUUAUAAAAAAUUGUUUGAUAUUUCUUAAUGUCUGCUCUGAGCCUUAAAACACAGAUUGAAGAAGAAAAGAAAGAAAAAACUUAAAUAUUUAUUUCUAUGCUUUGUUGCCUCUGAGAAUAAUGACAAUUUAUGAAUUUGUGUUUCAAAUUGAUAAAAUAUUUAGGUACAAAUAACAAGACUAAUAAUAUUUUCUUAUUUAAAAAAAGCAUGGGAAGAUUUUUAUUUAUCAAAAUAUAGAGGAAAUGUAGACAAAAUGGAUAUAAAUGAAAAUUACCAUGUUGUAAAACCUUGAAAAUCAGAUUCUAACUGGAUUUGUAUGCAACUAAGU
RNAcentral lists this long non-coding RNA (761 nucleotides) under Homo sapiens (human). RNAcentral's name for it is "non-protein coding lnc-PLSCR4-2:1". The record is from RNAcentral. Lineage: Eukaryota; Metazoa; Chordata; Mammalia; Primates; Hominidae.